This 253-nucleotide ribosomal RNA is filed under the name uncultured bacterium. Its description in RNAcentral is "partial 16S ribosomal RNA". It matches the Rfam family "Bacterial small subunit ribosomal RNA", at positions 524 to 776 of the family's 1533-position model. The record is from RNAcentral.
UACGAAGGGGGCGAGCGUUGUUCGGAUUUACUGGGCGUAAAGCGCGCGUAGGCGGCUUUGCAAGUCGGGUGUGAAAUCCCCAGGCUUAACCUGGGAACUGCAUUCGAGACUGCAUUGCUAGAGUAUGGGAGAGGGAAGUGGAAUUUCCGGUGUAGCGGUGAAAUGCGUAGAUAUCGGAAGGAACAUCAGUGGCGAAAGCGACUUCCUGGACCAAUACUGACGCUCAUGUGCGAAAGCGUGGGGAGCAAACAGG